This 255-nucleotide ribosomal RNA is filed under the name uncultured bacterium. RNAcentral's name for it is "partial 16S ribosomal RNA". It matches the Rfam family "Bacterial small subunit ribosomal RNA", at positions 29 to 267 of the family's 1533-position model. The record is from RNAcentral.
AACGAACGCUGGCGGCGCGCCUAACACAUGCAAGUCGAACGCGAAAGAGGGGCAACUCUUGAGUAAAGUGGCGCACGGGUGAGUAACGCGUAGGUGAUCUACCUUUGCGAUCGGGAUAACCAGCCGAAAGGUUGGCUAAUACCGGAUAGAGCGCAGGGAGCAUAAAGCUUCAUGCGGGAAAUGAGGGCGUAGCAAUACGCUCUUGCGCUGAGAUGAGCCUGCGUCUCAUUAGCUAGUUGGUGAGGUAAUGGCUCA